CAAGGAGUAGAAUUCUUGGAUCUUUUAGAAUUGCCCGUGCUAUGGCAAUUCUUUGCUUUUGACCCCCAGAGAGCUGUGUACCAUGCUCACCGACAAUCAUAUCAUGUCCCUAAAAUCACAAUUUUACACAACCAAUGAGGUUUUGGCAACUUAUUGGGAUGCCUUGUAGACAUGCAACAUGCAAUUUGUGCAGUUGCUGCCUCAGAAUAAGCUGCUUGUCCUCGAGAUGCCAUCUUUGCAAAAGCUAAGCUCAUCAUGGAACCGGAGAGGACAAGAAGAGGAACAGAAGAUAGAAGGACAAGGCUCAGAAGCCAACCCUUGGUGAAGGCUAAGGUUAUGGCUCCUAGAAAACUUGACACACUCUGUAUGAACUUUCCUACCUGAGAUAUCACCCAAAAAGAGAACGAAAAAGUUAACUCCAAUAAUAGUUUGAUGAGAUUGUGAUGAUUUUGGAUUUGAAGAGUGGUCCAUUAAUACCUUCUCUCCCAUGGCUUCUUGAAUAAGAAAUGUGUCCCCUGACAUCCUUCCAACAACCUCGCCACUGUUGGUUUCCUUGUCAAAGAAGCUGAUAUCUUGCCUCAAAAUUGCUUUGAGGUAUAAGCCUCUUAGUCUUGCAGCUUGUCUCUCCCCAGUGAUCACCCAGCAAGACACCUCUGCAAAAUUGAAGAAUGUGUCACUGAGUAACUCUUGCUAUAUUUUUAUUAAAUUUUUUUCUAUCUUUACAGUAAGAACAAUCAGCUGAGAAUUUGGCAUGCUUACGCAAGAAUGCUGCUAAAAAGGCACCUGCGCCUAUGGAUGCAAUCUUCAGAGACACCUGAGGAUGAAACGAAACUCGAAAGGAUCUACGGAUUACCUUAGAAACUUCAUGAAGUACUUGUUUAUUAUCAACAUGUCCUCCCAAGGCAUCAAUCGCAUCUCCAACAAAUAUAGCCAGUGAAGGAGUACAGAUUCCAUUAGCAACAGCACUUAUUGCCCCAACAAGCAUCAGAAGACAAUCCAGAGAGUCUGCAAAUGAGAAAAGUUUGUAAAAGGUUGAAGUCAUAUCUGCAUCCAAGGAAAACUCCUCUUGGUUUUCAACUUGCAAAAACCACUGAAAAACCUCUGCACAAGACUGUUGUGCACUUCAGUGGUAACGCAGUAAGAACUUUCAUUUGUAACUCAAUGCC
Vigna angularis (adzuki bean) is the source of this 1166-nucleotide long non-coding RNA. RefSeq lists it as uncharacterized. The transcript is spliced from 5 exons. The record is from RefSeq and is a predicted model, not a curated record. Lineage: Eukaryota; Viridiplantae; Streptophyta; Magnoliopsida; Fabales; Fabaceae.